This 135-nucleotide transfer RNA is filed under the name Clostridiaceae bacterium. Its description in RNAcentral is "tRNA-Thr". It matches the Rfam family "tRNA". Rfam says of the family: Transfer RNA (tRNA) molecules are approximately 80 nucleotides in length. Their secondary structure includes four short double-helical elements and three loops (D, anti-codon, and T loops). Further hydrogen bonds mediate the characteristic L-shaped molecular structure. tRNAs have two regions of fundamental functional importance: the anti-codon, which is responsible for specific mRNA codon recognition, and the 3' end, to which the tRNAs corresponding amino acid is attached (by aminoacyl-tRNA synthetases). tRNAs cope with the degeneracy of the genetic code in two manners: having more than one tRNA (with a specific anti-codon) for a particular amino acid; and 'wobble' base-pairing, i.e. permitting non-standard base-pairing at the 3rd anti-codon position. RNAcentral also lists the same sequence under 2 other names. Lineage: Bacteria; Bacillati; Bacillota; Clostridia; Eubacteriales; Clostridiaceae. The record is from RNAcentral.
GGGGGUGUGGUGCAAUAAACACAACACUCUUACAAAUGUUCUCUGGUAAAACAGUAGUGGUUAGUAAGAGUUACUUCGGUUGACACAAUAGUCUUGUAAAACUAUCUCAUAAAGGUUCGAGUCCUUUCACCCCCA